UUCAGACAAAGCAGGCUUGCAAAGAGCCAAGGGAAAAACCAUCUGGCCUUGGCACAGGGGUGUCUGUAGAAGCCCUGAAGCUGCUGAGCAUCACAUUUCUGCUGUGCUCUCUGACUUGCCUCUUGCUGGAGACUGUUGCUUCCUCUGUGUCACUGCCACAACACUCAGUGGGUGUGUUUGCCGUUAUGAUGAAAGUUCCGGCCUCCAUAGGACCUAAGAUUCCCAUCGAAGAAAAUUCCAGGUCCUGGCUGAGCAACUUCAAGGAUUAUCUCUGCAAUCUCAUCAGGAGCCACAUCCCUCCAGCAGCCAUUUUUAUUUUUCUUAUUAUGUCAGCAGUGCUGGGGAUCCUCUGCUGCCUCACUGUUCUAAUAGGUGAACCAGUCCAAUGAAGUAUGAGAAGAUUCAGUGGACAACUGUAAUGCUUAGCUUGCUGGAUUCCAAGAGAGUGGAGAGUGUGAUAUUUGUGUACAAUAAGGAAGUAUCUACCAGGUAAAAUUAAAUCAUCUUACAUCUUAAACGAUCUUUGCCUUUAUUUUCUCCUUUAAAACAUGCAAUUGAAACAAAAUGAUAAGAGACUCAUUACUGUUUUAAUUAUAA
Bos indicus x Bos taurus (hybrid cattle) is the source of this 597-nucleotide long non-coding RNA. The record is from Ensembl. NCBI's taxonomy places the organism in Eukaryota, Metazoa, Chordata, Mammalia, Artiodactyla, Bovidae.